This 758-nucleotide long non-coding RNA is filed under the name Carica papaya (papaya). RNAcentral's name for it is "long non-coding RNA (CPAP_LNC007422)". Lineage: Eukaryota; Viridiplantae; Streptophyta; Magnoliopsida; Brassicales; Caricaceae. The record is from RNAcentral.
AAUUGAUAAGUGAAAAGAAAAAAAUUGUUUUGGAAUUUGCUUAAUACUAGUGAAGAUUUUAGAGGUAUACAAGUCAUAAUUGGAAAGUAGUUCGAAUGUGUUGUGUGAAGUGCUGGUGGUACACAAUUAUUUGUAGUUGUAAUUGUUGUAUGUGGGUGUUAUAUUUAGAGAAGGGAUAGUAAUUGUUCUUUUCAUUCUUUCAUCCAACAAAUGAUGCCUUUACAUAUAUUUACAUAUGUCUUAAGAAGAAUCUAAAACUGAUUCCUUUUUCUAUAUUUUUACACAACUUUCUAGAUAAUUCUACAUUCAUUCAUAACUUUUUUCUUCUUCUAUAUAGUUCUUCAAGCUUCUAGAGUCUUCUAUCAUCUUGUAGAAUUCUCUUUCAGUAUCUCCUAUAUUUUUUAGAGAAUAAAACAGUUCCUUCUGAUAGGGCAUAUGCAAGGAAGAAUAAGAAAAUAAAAUAUCAGGUUAUAUGUACUAAUUAUAUAGGGUGUAUGUGAAUAUGUAAGUGUUGUCUGUGUUUAUGCAGGUGCUAAGUUAUGUAUAAUGUGUGUAAUUGGGAAGAAUAAGCCUUGAAAGGCCAAAGGGAGCAGAAUAGAUAAAUCUGGAAAAUUUCUCCAGAAAUAACUGCCACUAACUGCAUCUGGGUGUUAUUAAGAACAUUUUGUCUUUUGGGAUAUGUUAUGUAUAAAGAAAUAUCCCAAGAAGAGUACUUUCCUACUCUAGAUAUUGUAGGAUUCUCUCUUCCAAACAAGCUG